AUGUUGUGCACUGCCGGCGGUGAUGACGAUGGCGGCGGCGAUAGCCCGUUUAAGCUGGCCCUGGUACGCUACAGCCAUAACGGGAUCCUGGCUUGCCUCUACGAAUCGGAGUCCGGUGUGUGGGGAAAUGCAGUCAACACAAUGACUCCUCACGAGAUUGAUCCGUUAAGCCAUAGUGUUCUAAUUGGGAAUGCACUUUGCUGGAGGAUCGAUCAUGGUGCCAUCCUUGAGUUUGACACUGAAAGGAUGAGCCCACAGGAUGGCGGCCUCGGCCUUGCCAUGUCUUUAGGGUGCACCAUUCAACUAUGGGAGAGGAAGUCUAGCCCGGAUCAUUGGGUGCGUGGAAACACCAUUGAUCUAUCCCAUCUCGGUUUAUUGGGACCGGCGGAGCGAACAUUGGUAGUGCCCAUAGGGUUUGAUGAGGACAACAAUUCAAUCUUUCUCAGGAAGGCCCACCGUAUCAUCAUGAUCCAACUCGGUUCACUGCAGUCGAAGAUGCUUUUUCAUGACGAUUCCCGCAAUAUCAACAACAUUUAUCCAUAUACAAGUUCUUAUGCGGCAGGCAAUGUGGCUGAUGGGGAUGAUGAUGGGCCUGAAAUUUUCUGUUAUAAGGUGAUGGCUCCAACGACUCUCGUACGGAGAGGCGACCCGGGAGGCAAUUCCGAUGGCGUUGGUGUGGCUGCCCCCAGCGCGGCGGUGGCGGCGGAGCGCAGCUGGACGGCGGUGCGCCCAGGUGAGGGGUGCGCACAGCGGUGCCCUGCGCCGGGCGGGCGGUCUCCGGGCCCUAUCCCCUUAGGUAGCCGGUUCUGGGCGCUGUCAGGGGUCUACUCCGACGAAGACGAAGAUGAGCAAGACCAGGUAAGCAGUCAGGUGAGUGAUGGUGGUUCGCUGAGGCCUCGCGAGGCGUGCUCGGUGGGUGACUUUGUCGCCCGGGCGGAGGAGCUUGGGGGAUCCUUCAAGGCCUGCCGCCGGCAUGCUUUCACACCUAGUGGCCAUGGCGGGCGUCGCUAG
Molecule: ribosomal RNA, 1011 nt
Filed under: Triticum aestivum (bread wheat)
Lineage: Eukaryota; Viridiplantae; Streptophyta; Magnoliopsida; Poales; Poaceae
Description: partial small subunit ribosomal RNA
Source: RNAcentral